Molecule: ribosomal RNA, 253 nt
Filed under: uncultured bacterium
Lineage: Bacteria
Description: partial 16S ribosomal RNA
Rfam family: Bacterial small subunit ribosomal RNA
Source: RNAcentral
UACGGAGGGUGCAAGCGUUAUCCGGAUUCACUGGGUUUAAAGGGUGCGUAGGUGGGUUGGUAAGUCAGUGGUGAAAUCCCCGGGCUUAACUUGGGAACUGCCAUUGAUACUAUUAAUCUUGAAUACCGUGGAGGUUAGCGGAAUAUGUCAUGUAGCGGUGAAAUGCUUAGAUAUGACAUAGAACACCAAUUGCGAAGGCAGCUGGCUACACGAAUAUUGACACUGAUGCACGAAAGCGUGGGGAUCAAACAGG